UGACCGCUGGCGGCGUGCCUAAUACAUGCAAGUCGAGCGAACGGACGAGAAGCUUGCUUCUCUGAUGUUAGCGGCGGACGGGUGAGUAACACGUGGAUAACCUACCUAUAAGACUGGGAUAACUUCGGGAAACCGUAGCUAAUACCGGAUAAUAUUUUGAACCGCAUGGUUCAAAAGUGAAAGACGGUCUUGCUGUCACUUAUAGAUGGAUCCGCGCUGCAUUAGCUAGUUGGUAAGGUAACGGCUUACCAAGGCAACGAUGCAUAGCCGACCUGAGAGGGUGAUCGGCCACCCUGGAACUGAGCCACGGUCAAGACUCCUACGGGAGGCAGCAGUAGGGAAUCUGCCGCAAUGGGCGAAAGCAUGACGGAGCAGCGCCGCGUGAGUGAUGAAGGUCUUCGGAUCGUAAAACUCUGUUAUUAGGGAAAAACAGAUGUGUAAGUAACUGUGCACAUCUUGACGGUACCUAAUCAGAAAGCCACGGCUAACUACGUG
This 495-nucleotide ribosomal RNA is filed under the name uncultured bacterium. RNAcentral's name for it is "partial 16S ribosomal RNA". It matches the Rfam family "Bacterial small subunit ribosomal RNA", at positions 30 to 507 of the family's 1533-position model. The record is from RNAcentral.